RNAcentral lists this ribosomal RNA (468 nucleotides) under uncultured bacterium. Its description in RNAcentral is "partial 16S ribosomal RNA". It matches the Rfam family "Bacterial small subunit ribosomal RNA", at positions 28 to 507 of the family's 1533-position model. The record is from RNAcentral.
GACGAACGCUGGCGGCGUGCUUAACACAUGCAAGUCGAACGGAAGGGCCCUGCGUUUGUGUGGUGCUCGAGUGGCGAACGGGUGAGUAACACGUGAGUAACAUGCCCUUGACUUUGGGAUAACUUCAGGAAAAUGGGGCUCAUACCGGGUAGGAGCUCCUGCUGCAUGGGGGGGGUUGGAAAGUGUCGGCGGUUGGGGAUGGACUAGCGGCUUAUCAGCUUGUUGGUGGGGUAGUGGCGUACAAAGGCUUUGACGGGUAGGCGGCAUGAGAGGUUGACCGGCCACAAGGGGACUGAGAGACGGCCCAGACUCCUACGGGAGGCAGCAGUGGAGAAUAUUGCACAAUGGGCGGAAGCCUGAUGCAGCAACGCCGCGUGCGGGAUGCCGUCCUUCGGGUUGUAAACCUCUUUCGCAUGUGCCGAAGCGUGAGUGACGGUAAUGGGUAAAGAAGCACCGGCUAACUACGUG